GAUGAACGCUAGCGAUAGGCUUAACACAUGCAAGUCGAGGGGCAGCAUGGUCUUAGCUUGCUAAGGCUGAUGGCGACCGGCGCACGGGUGCGUAACGCGUAUGCAACUUGCCUCACAGAGGGGGAUAACCCGUCGAAAGACGGACUAAUACCGCGUACACUCUAUAUUGGGCAUCCAAUGUAGAGGAAAUGAAAUUCGCUGUGAGAUAGGCAUGCGUCCCAUUAGCUAGUUGGUGAGGUAACGGCUCACCAAGGCGACGAUGGGUAGGGGAACUGAGAGGUUGAACCCCCACACUGGUACUGAGACACGGACCAGACUCCUACGGGAGGCAGCAGUGAGGAAUAUUGAUCAAUGGGCGAGAGCCUGAACCAGCCAAGUCGCGUGAAGGAUGACUGUCUUAUGGAUUGUAAACUUCUUUUAUACGGGAAUAACAAGAGUCACGUGUGGCUCCCUGCAUGUACCGUAUGAAUAAGCAUCGGCUAACUCCGUG
RNAcentral lists this ribosomal RNA (490 nucleotides) under uncultured bacterium. RNAcentral describes it as "partial 16S ribosomal RNA". It matches the Rfam family "Bacterial small subunit ribosomal RNA", at positions 28 to 507 of the family's 1533-position model. The record is from RNAcentral.